GCUCAGGACGAACGCUGGCGGCGUGCCUAAUACAUGCAAGUCGAGCGAACAGAAGGGAGCUUGCUCCCGGAUGUUAGCGGCGGACGGGUGAGUAACACGUGGGUAACCUGCCUGUAAGACUGGGAUAACUCCGGGAAACCGGAGCUAAUACCGGAUAGUUCCUUGAACCGCAUGGUUCAAGGAUGAAAGACGGUUUCGGCUGUCACUUACAGAUGGACCCGCGGCGCAUUAGCUAGUUGGUGGGGUAAUGGCUCACCAAGGCGACGAUGCGUAGCCGACCUGAGAGGGUGAUCGGCCACACUGGGACUGAGACACGGCCCAGACUCCUACGGGAGGCAGCAGUAGGGAAUCUUCCGCAAUGGACGAAAGUCUGACGGAGCAACGCCGCGUGAGUGAUGAAGGUUUUCGGAUCGUAAAGCUCUGUUGUUAGGGAAGAACAAGUGCGAGAGUAACUGCUCGCACCUUGACGGUACCUAACCAGAAAGCCACGGCUAACUACGUGCCAGCAGCCGCGGUAAUACGUAGGUGGCAAGCGUUGUCCGGAAUUAUUGGGCGUAAAGGGCUCGCAGGCGGUUUCUUAAGUCUGAUGUGAAAGCCCCCGGCUCAACCGGGGAGGGUCAUUGGAAACUGGGAAACUUGAGUGCAGAAGAGGAGAGUGGAAUUCCACGUGUAGCGGUGAAAUGCGUAGAGAUGUGGAGGAACACCAGUGGCGAAGGCGACUCUCUGGUCUGUAACUGACGCUGAGGAGCGAAAGCGUGGGGAGCGAACAGGAUUAGAUACCCUGGUAGUCCACGCCGUAAACGAUGAGUGCUAAGUGUUAGGGGGUUUCCGCCCCUUAGUGCUGCAGCUAACGCAUAAGCA
Molecule: ribosomal RNA, 861 nt
Filed under: Bacillus sp. (in: firmicutes)
Lineage: Bacteria; Bacillati; Bacillota; Bacilli; Caryophanales; Bacillaceae
Description: bacterial SSU rRNA
Rfam family: Bacterial small subunit ribosomal RNA
Source: RNAcentral